Pogona vitticeps (central bearded dragon) is the source of this 111-nucleotide ribosomal RNA. The record is from Ensembl. NCBI's taxonomy places the organism in Eukaryota, Metazoa, Chordata, Lepidosauria, Squamata, Agamidae.
UGCCACUAGUUCACCCUGAAUACAAGUGAUCUCAUCUGAUUCUAGAAGCUAAGCAGGGUUAUGCAUCUGUAUGCUUCUGUAUACACCCAGAAGCAUACAAUAGAGUGACAU